Molecule: non-coding RNA, 26468 nt
Organism: Equus caballus (horse)
Lineage: Eukaryota; Metazoa; Chordata; Mammalia; Perissodactyla; Equidae
Source: RefSeq, a predicted model, not a curated record
AUAUAUUAUAAAAUGAUUACCACAAUAAAGUUAGUUAAUAUUUUCUUUGAAUAGAGCAUAGUGUUGUGGUCAAACGUACUUGUAAUGUAGUGAUACUUCCAGGCGUGCAGAGGAAUGUUCGAGUUCUGGCUCUGCUACUACUGUGCUCUGUAAUCAUGGAUGCAUCUGUUUUCAUCUCAGGGCCUUAAUUCCUCCCUCUGUAAGACAAGAGGUGAGAAUAAUUGUCUUGAAGGUUCUUUUAACUCCAACCUGGCAGGAGUUUCGAUGCAAAUUUCUCUUGAUGAGCUUGUUUGAUGCGAAAGUCUCAUGGACUCUGAGGAGAAAAGACACAUAUCCCUAGGUUUUGGGGGUUUAACAUUCUUUUCUACUUGUGAAUGGGGGAGGGGUUUGUGGGGAGAAGGUGGGCCGUGACACCAAUGUGUUUGUUUUUAUGUCACUUCAUUUUGAAUAUAGUCAAGAUUGGCUGGGUCAGAUAAUAUCAAUACUCAACAGAAUUGCCUAAGCUGUCAAAUAAAAAUUAAAAAUAAACGCUUUCUUUAAUUCAAUUCAAUAACACAUGCCAAUAACCCACAAAGAGUAGUGUUAGGUGUUAAGGGGAAAUUAAGGCUGAAGAACCCCAAUUUUGCCCUCAAGAAGCUUCCCUCUUGUGGAAGAAGUCAACAACUGACUGUAAAACAAAACCAUUUGGAACAUAUUCAGUAGAAAAAAAGCAAUAACCAGCCUGUCUUGAGUACUUAUUAUAUGCCAAGCACUGGCCUAAGCAUUUUAUGUAAUCUCUUUUGAUUUUAAUAAUGACUCCAUGAGGUAGAUAUUUCAUUUUUCAGAUGAAGAAACUGAGGCACAGCUGGGGAGUGGCAGAGCUGAGAUAUGAAUCCCACAGCCUAGCUCUAAAGCUCAUGCUCUUAAUCACCUGCAAUACUGUUUCCUGAUAAGCCCCUGCCCCAUGACAUAGAAGAGGGGCAGGAGAGACACAUUGCAACAGAGACAGUAGUAGGUGGCAGAGCAAUCCACAAAGACUGAGGAUGCUUUUCAUGAGCAGAGCAGGGGAAAGAGAAGAACACUUUUCCCACUGGGUAACAUCAUCCCCACUGUCACUGACAAGGGAAUCUGUAAACAGAGAUGUAAUACAGUGUGCCUACAUUUUCACAGAAAAAUAACUAAAGCUAGGACUGGAGCCCAGAUAUCUUGCCUUUUCUUCAAAGCUUUCCCUAUUUGUCCCUGGCUUCUCAAAUAUAAAUAAUCAUUUGAGGGCCAACUCAAGAUUUUUGACUCAUUUGCAUACCAUCUGUCUUAUUGUUUCUUUCAUGUUUUCUUUGGAGUAACUCUUUUUUUUAAACCAAAAUGGAAAUAUGACAGAAGAAAAGUUGAUCUUCCUACUUUAAAUGGAAAACAGGUAUCAAUUGUUAUAAUUAUUUAAAACCCUCUUCUAAACUUUACAACAGAAAGAUAGCGUUUACCCAGGCACCACCCAGACACCUCUCCCCGUGCGUGUGUGGUCAGUCUUGAGAGGCUGCCGCGACUUCCUGCUGACUUCACCUGUCAGAGACAGGAUUUGAGUCGGCACUGCAGGUUCGGCGCUUCACUGCUCCAUCUCGGGGCAACUUACCAAGUUAGAGCCUCCGUGAAAUAAAUGUAAAUUGUAUACAAAUGACCCAAGCCUUGAUCCUGAUGAAAAAACAACAUGAAACUUCUGCCCUUAUUUUCUCCUCUUGAUAAACAUAUAUGGCCUAAAGAUAAAUGUCUUGGGGAAAAGAGUGGAUCAGUGAAUCUUUUAUCCCCAUCCCCAGCGUGUGCAGCAUUUUUGACCACUCGCAGGAGUGCAGGCCCUGCAUCGUGAGUGACAAGUACAGCAGGUCCUUGCCUUUGGGGAUCAUAUCUGAGCCUGAAUUUGGGGCUAUAAACCUAUGGAACUGGGCUCAUGGUGGUUGGCCCACAACAAUCUCUCAGUGGUAGGUAACCAGCUUGUGCCAAAUGUCAUCUGCAUGGAUGCAUUUGAGCCUCACCACAACUCCACAGGUGGACAGACUUUUUGAAAUCCCCGUUUCACAGAUACGGGUCAAAGAAGUUAAGCCAUUUGCUGGGGUCACACAUUUAGAAUGAAGAGGCAACAGGUAAAAUGGUGAGAAUGCGGGACCCAGGGCCAUGGUUUCCUUUUCUUUGGAGGGGCAUGUGGAGAAGGGUCUGAGAAGCAGAGUCGAGGUGACUGUGAAAGCUCAGCUUAACUCUUGUGUCCGCCAUUGCAAGUUAGGAGGGGACGUUUCUCAGUUAAUGCUGAUUUAUGUGCGACUAACAGACAGGGGGAAAAAAAAGGAAGCCUGGUUUCUAAUUUUACAUUCUGUGGCACUUUACUAAAAAGCCCCUCAAGGUGGCCGGAAGUUGGAAGCCCUCAAGGUGCGAAGCCCUGGACAGAUGCAAAGGUGCUGGGUGGGGGUGGGGGGUCACUGAGAGAUAAUCUGCCACAUGGCUUCUGGACUGGGUCUUAACUCUUAGCAGCAAUUAGGGUUUUCUUCUCUCUGUCUACUUAUUUGCAUAAUGUCAUACCCAUAUGGUCUUGUUUUAUUUACCUCUUCAAGGGGAAAAACUACUUUAGAAAGAGAUGAAACCAGAAGCCUUGACUUUCAGAAGCCCUGCUUCUGUCCCUCCUGCUCUCCCACCCUGUCUCUUUAAUUCUGUCCCAUCUUUGCUUCUCUCUCCUGACAUCUUGAUUUUGAUAAACCAGGAACUUGCUUGAGUGAUAGGAUCCAUUUCUUCCAGUGAACGGUUCCAGUGGGUGUCUUGUUGAGGGGUUUAUUCCAGCGGCAUUUACAGCCCGGGUGAGUUUAAGCGUGACCUAUUCCCAUUUCUUUCAUGAUGGAGGAAGUUUGAGAGGUGUACCAAGGCUAGUUCUGCUCAGAGAGAUGAAAGGCUUGAAUUACAUGCUGCUUUGCUGUUCUUCUGGGAUUUCUGAAGAGUGAUACCCUCAAUUUUGCCAUUUUAGGUGUGGAUUUUGUAAUUUACACACGGUUCUUUAAUGUUCUUCAAGACAGAGUUUGCAUCUUGUGUCGGGGGUAAGAGAGUAAAUAUUUCAACCUUCCCUUGUUCUUGAAAUGAUUCCGGCUGAUUUGGUGAUUCAGUCAUGUCUUCUUGACUCUCUACACUAUGGCGGUCAAAUUCCUGACAAGUAUUACACAACAACCAAAAAAACAAAUAAAUUAUAAAGCUCUUUAGAGACACAGUUAAAGGAUGAUCCAUUGCUCUUUAAAAUCUUUAAUUCCAUGUUUCUUUAUUAAACAAGCAUUUAUUUUAGGUGCAUGACAUGCCAGGCACUGGGCUAGAUGCCCAGGAUUCAGAGUUGGAGAAGAUCUAGUCUCUGUUUUGAAUCUGUUCAGAGUUUGCUAAUUUCACAACUUAGAGGUCCCAGCUACACAAGAGCUGUGGAAAUGACAGAGCUUUAGGAAAUAUGUGAACUCCGUGAGACACUGAAUGCAAGAUUUUAUUGGCAUGUGUGUUUUUCUGGGAAGAGGGUUCAUAACUUCCAUUGGAUUCUUGAAGCAUUCAUGAACAAAAAUGCUUUAGAACCAUGGCUUCUGCAACUGCAGUAGAAAUUUUAGUUGACCUACCCCUGGUUAUCUACAAGUAGGAUCUUCGCUCCUUGCUCAGCCCUGGUGGGUUAUCUGCAUUUGGGGCCUGGUCAGCUGGCCUUUAAGUCCAUCUUCUGAGAGUAGACUUCUAAAACUGGGUCAAUGUCUUUGGCACAGAGCCUUGUAUCCAUGAAGUUUUUACAUUUUCUAUAGCUCUUAGCUUUUGAAUCACAAAUAGGAGGUCCAUGAAAACUGCAUUGAUUAAUUAUGCUCUGGUUUUGUCACCGAAUUCUCUACUCAGCCCUUGCUUGUCUGCCAUUCUGCUCCAUCUCUGGCCACUGUGAAAUAUUCUGCCUCUCCCAAGGCAGGGUGAGAAUAGAGAACAUUCCUUAAUUGGGGUGUGUGCACACACAUGCUUACUCUGAAAGUUCUCUAAUGCUCUCGCUCCUAAUGCUUUGUUCCUUAACUAUCAUGUGGAGAGAGGUGUUUGGACACCACAUUAAUAAUAGCUCUUAGUAUGUAUGUGGCACAUUCCAUUUUCAAAGGCAUUUAUAAACAUUGAAAGAUGAAAGUGUACACCACUCAUCUUGGAAAAAAGGGAAUGUUAAUCAUCACUGUGCUCAUUCCUUGGAGAUGGUCACAGAAUCUGAGAGCUGGAAGGGAUGUCAGAGGUCACUGGCUCAACCUCCAGUCCCUAAAGGAAUUCUCUUUCCCUUGAAGCCCACCACGGGUGAGUAUUUCCUACAAUCUCUUUCUAGAGUUCAAGCAAACUCUGUCCUCCUGUAAAUUUCAGUAAUUCUCUCUCUCUCAUCUAUUUCUCCCUUUCUUUCUUUCUCUCUCUUUUUCUUUCUUCCUUUCUUUCUUUCUCUUUCUCCUUCCUUCCUUUCCUUCCUUCUUUCCUUCUUCCCUCCCUCUCUCUUUCCUUCCAUCCUUCUUUCCUCCCUCUCUUUCUCUCUUUCUGCAGAGCCCCCCUGAAAUUACAGAUACAUGAACAAAAUGGUGUUGUUUUAAGUCGUUAAAUUUUGGAUGGUUUGUUACAUAUUGAAAGAUAUCUGUCCACACCUGGGCAGACUGGGAUGUCUGGCCACCGUACUUGUGACGUUCCAGGCAGUAUAGUACCCUGCCGCCCUCACGUUGCACCCAGCCUUGAGUCACCUUUCUUGGCUGCCGUUCUCUGACCUAAAGCCACUGAGGAUUUCAAUUCCAAACUUUUCCUUCUCUGAGCUAGCAAAGCACCUUCAGAUCUCGUUAUUCUUGUAACUGCUGCUAUGCUGGAGACGAGUGUAUUCCACUCCCUAAAGUGCUGACCAAGAGAACUUUGAGCAAGCUGUCUUUCCUUUUUGCUGGAUAAUAGUUAAAAUAAAGAGAAUGUUUACCAAGUGCCUGCUACUUCUCAGGUGCUGUGGUGAGUGCUUUUCACCCACACAGUUUUCACCAAACACUAUGAGGUAGGUGUAUUUGUUAUCUCAUUUACAGAUUGGGAAGCUGAGGCCCAGAAAGAUUAAGUAGCUGUCUAAAGCUGCACAGCCAAGAAGGAAUAGAAUUAGGAUUCGAAUUCAGGUCUGUCUGGCUCCAGAACCACACAAUUAAUAUCAUGCUAUUUGUAUGGCACACAAAAGGUCUUUCAUAAUGAUGAUGCACUGCUUUCCACCCUUUUGCCCCAAGCAUCCCUUCUAUGCUUUUCUCAUCAUAAACUAGAAUUUUUCUACCACAUAGCUAUAUUUAUAAAAUAGCUAUUAAUUUGUCUUCCAGUUUCUUAACUAAAGCUACUACUUUAAAAACAGUAAAAUAUUAGUUGUUGAUAUUUUACUAGCAUUUGUAAAGUGCCACAUAUUAUUUCAUGAACUCCUCAAUGACCCGGGAAGUUGAUCUUAUUGCCUCCGUUUUACAAAUGAGGAAACCGAGUCCUGGAGGGGGGCCGAGUUCUCCCCGAUCACACAGCCAGUCAGGAGCAAAGCUGAGAUUUACACUCUGUCUGAUUCCAACUCUAUUCCUUUGAGCUGGCUCCUUUGACUUCUGAUGGUCAUGAAACAACCAAUCCUUCCAAAAUGAGUUAUCAGAAUUGCAACCAAAACGCAUAAACCAUUAAUCUGUGAUUAAUCUGUCCAUUUUGAAAUAAGCAAACAUGGCUUCUGGGCACCUUAACGGGAGAAUCUUACACCUUGAGACAAAUGAGGACUUUCUGAUGCGAGUGUCUGAUGCUGUUUCUAAAGCAUCAUGCCCCUGGUGACAUAGGAGUAGGGUUGAAGGUGGGGUUGGUUGGCAUUUUUAGAUCCAGAAUUCUAGUGGUGGCUGUUCUAAAUGGUCCUUUCUGAGUCUUGGUUCCAAGGAGCAGUUGUUCUAGCUGGUGCUCAUCUUUCCCACUUGAUAUGAAGCUUCUUGAGGACAAGCUCCUUGAUAUUCCACAGACCCUGGGUACAGCGUACGGCAUAUAAUGGGGUUUAAUAGAUGUCUUGAGCUGCUGUGGAAUUAUGGGAGGGGAGUUCAGAGACAUCAUUACUUGCCUGGAAUGUGGAGAAGGAGAGAAUGCAAACAUCCUAGACAACAUGGACACAAAGAAGAAGUCUCUGGGGUAGGAGGAGAGGAAGUCAUGUAUGAAGUUGGGGUGAUAUAAAGACAACCUAUGGGCGCCUCCCUGCUCUGCCAGUGAUUAGCUGUGUAGUUUUGGGUGAGUCCAUUUGCCCUCUCUGAGCCCACAUUUCCACAAAGGAUGCUACCUGCUUAUCUUUACGAGACAACUCUCAUGAACACCAUAAGGCAGAGCAUACAUGAAACAUAUGGAAAAUAGUAAAAUGAUAGAAAUACGAUGUCAAUGGCAUCAACCACAGCAAUGAUAAGGAAAACUUCCUUGUGUUGAUUCCCUUCCUGGCAUUCUUCACACAUUGUCCUCACGACAACCCUCUGUGUCAUUAUCUCCAACUUACAGAUGAGGAAACUCUGAGAUAUUAUCAUUAUUAAUUAUAUAAUUAUCUAACACUCAAAAAAACCCUGACAUUUGCUCAGUUUUCUGGGAGAUGGAAGAGUGAGAGAAUUGGGGAGCCAGAUAUGGCACCGUGUUGGCCAAAAAGCAACCGUUCCAGUUAAGUCUAAUUCAGUUUGUGCUGGGAAUAUCCAUGCAACAUUAGAUUCACAAGGAAUUCUUUUUAUUCUAACCAAUAUAUUGAGGGGUGAUUGACCUACAAAAAGCUAUACCUAUUUAGUGUAUACAACUUGAUGAGUUUGGAGAUAAAUUUACAUCCUUGAAACCAUCACCACAAUCCAUGCCAUAAACAUAUCCAUCCCCUCCAAAACUUCUCUUCCAUCUUUGUUAUUUACUAUGGUUUUUAAAAGUGAUUCUUGAAAAGUAGACCUUGCUUUUCCAAGCAAACAUUUUGCACGACCCAUGGUCCAGGGAAACGCCCAGGACCUUCUGGAAUGGAUCCACGAGGGAUGCUUGGAUUGAAUUACAGCAGCCCAUUCUGAUGCCAAGUGGCCAGAGUUUGGGCAACUCCAUUACCUCAUCCUCUUUGCUGUGUUGAAGAAACAAAGAUAAUGACACUUUCCCAAGGCUGGGGCUGGGUAAGUCUUAAUUUGUGAGUGUUUGGAAAUGGCUUUGAAGAUGGCAAAGGUUAUUUAAGUGUUAAGUAUUAUUAUUUAUUGUGGUUCCAAGUUCUGUUUCUCCUCCCCCUUAUUGUCAGGCUACAAAACAAUAAAAGACAUGGAAAAAGAGCCUCUGAAGUAUCCAAACAUCAAUAAAUUAGGUAACUUUGGCCUGAGCCCUAUGAUGGUAUCUGCAAACCUAGCAUUAGCUUUGUGGCAUUUUUGUGUGGGCCGGUGGUUGCCUAAUUUGCCCUUAACUAUGCCAGCAGCACCCUGGUGCAGGUUUGGCACACACAGGUGAUGCAAGCACUCUUUGGACAGACCUGGGUUGCUGACAUCAUGCUUUGCUGUGUGCUCUUUGAGAUGCAAAAUAGGUUCUGGUGGAGCCCUGAUCCUUUCAUCAUUGACAUUUAAUGGAAGAGAAUUAACAUUCAUUGAGCCCUUCUGUGUGCCAGAUACUUUUAUGAACAUGAUCUCAUUUAUUCGCACAACAAUACAGUGAAGUGGGUAUGAAUGGCCCCAUUUUACAGAUGAGGAAACUGAGGCGCAUGGAAGCUAAACAAUUUGCCCUUGAUCAUAUAACUAGUAAGAGAUCUAAUUAGGGUUGAAAUCCAGGACCAUCUGGCUCCAAAGGCCACGUACUUUUGUUAUAUUAGACUGUAGGCAACACGCCCUAGAGUACUGUUCACCCCAAUUCCCUGGUCGAUUCCCCCAGUUCUCUGCUAAAGUCUCUUCAGUGUCUAUCCUUUGCUUUAAAUGGAAUAAAGAUCACACUCCUACUACGGGCCUGCACCAUCUGCCUCUGGCUCCCUCUCCAGCUCCACUCAACCCCACGCUCCUUUAUUUCAGUUCCUUGAACAUGCCAAAACUUCCUACCUCUGGGGUUUUUGCACAAACUGUCUGCAAAAGUUUACCCUUUCCUUUUUCUCCAGCUAUGUCUUGCUAAACCUUUACACAAAAUUUUCUUGGGGAUGUCUUCUCUGAAAAUAUGGAUCAGUAGUUCUUCAAGUGUGGUCCCUGGACCAGCAAACAGCAGCAUCACCCGGGAACUUGUGAGAAAUGCAAGUUCUCAGACCUCCCCGGAGGCCUGCUGAAUCAGAAACUCUGGACAUGGGCCCAGCUCUCCAGGGGAUUCUUUGCCUGCUUGAGUUUGAAAAUCAUCAGGGUUUCUUGAAACUGUUGACAUUGUAGGGUAUUUAGCAGCAUCCUAGCUUUUACCUAUUCGAUGUCAGUAGCACUCCCAUUCACGUCCUUGCCUCCUUCCAAGUUGUAAUAACCAAAAAUGUCUUCAGACCUGGCCUGAUGUCUCCUGGGGGGCAAAAUUGCCCCUGACUAAGAAUCACUGCGUUAGACUAAAGUGUGUUUCCCUGUGAGCACCCUAAACAAUUGAGGUUAUUAGUUAAUAACUUAUUGGACUCGUUUGUUUAAGGCGUGUCUCCAAUGUCAUAUUUCCAGCAGCUAAUACACAACUCGUUACCUAGUAUGUUCUCAGGAAAUACUGUUGUACUGACUAAGUGACCUGGCAAACUUGCACCACACCUCCUCAAACCCAGCCCUGUGUCUGAAUUUUCUGGAAGAGAUAGGGCUUGGGGGCCGGAGAGGGAUCACAGGCAAGCAGGAUCCUUCACAAUUUGAAGGCAAGUCUCCUCCGUCAGAACCCUGGGAGCAAAGGGGAUUUUCAUGCCCAGCUGGACAGGAACUAAGUACUGGUUCUUUUAAAAUAUAGCAGCAGAGAAUGUGAUUAAAUACAGGAGAAAGAAAAAAAAGUUCUCUUAGAUGAUGCAGAAGGCCCUCACCAAAGAUAGGCUCAGUGCCACUGUCACCGAAAGAGAAACAAAACCACAUUCUGCCGGCAAUAGCAAAAAGGAGAUUAUUGGCAACAAGACUUGACCCAGCCUGCCUUGGAGUGGCUUAAGUCUUUCUGUCAGUGGUACAUUCAUAUUAAAGAGGAGAGGAAAAGGCAGAUUCUGAUCCUUUUGCUGCUCUAUGUUUCCUCAGCCUGAGAAAUAAUUUCUAGAGCCAGGGAAAGCAGCACUGCGGAAUUGAGGAAGAAUGGAAUUCUCGCUUUCAAUCCUCCUCUAAAUUGAUGAUCAACGUCAUCCUCCUGGCUCCGUAUGAAGUGGUUGUGGACAUGGAACACUUGGUUGGCUACACAGGCAUCUGUCCUUCAUAGGGCUCACACCAAUGCUGAGAAUGAUGCCCACCGAGUUUCACAGGAAAUAUUUCAGACACAUGGCUGAUGGCAGACUUCAAGUAACAUGUAACUUAACAGAUCCUUAUGCUUUGGGAGUUGCAGUCGAGGUCUGAGAAGCCAUAGACCUAAGAUGCAAUUUUUUUGAGUUUAUCUGUAUCUAUAUAAAUACAUUUUAUUUUUUUCUCAAAGAAUAUUUCGAUUUUUUCUUGAAGAAAUUUCAAAAAAGAGGAAGAAAAAAUGGGGAAAAAAGACUUUUUUUCUAUUUUAAAAUUCAUUUUUGUUUUAUUUUUGUUACCAGACUCUUCCAGCAAUUUUCUUUCCUGCUUAAUGUUAUCUUUUAAGCCUGUCUCCAAGUUUUUGCAAAAUGACCAUUUUCAAAGUGAUACCUAAAUUCAAUUUCAAUUCAUUCCCAAAUGUAAAGUCAUUAAAAUGCCCCCAAAUUAGAAACAGAAAUACAAUAGUCUAGCCAUUCGGAAAGUACAUACUAAUGUGCUCACUUAAAGCUAAAGACUGAGCUCACAAUUACUUUAACAUUAGAGCUCUAAAAAAAUCAGUAAUUAUGAGUUUACUAAUCCACAAUUUGUAAUGAUUUGCAUAUGACUGGAGUGAAAGCAUAAUUUCAAACAUCUUCAUUAUAAUCUAUAUGCUAAAUUGAUUGAACCAAUCCCAUUGUUAGCAUUUGCUGUCAUAAAUAGCUUUACAACAAACAUGUCUAAGCAUUAUUUUUUUCUGCUAUUAAGAGCAUUUCCUUAGAAAUGAGGUCAGAAAUUCAAUCAUUAGUUCCAAAAAUAUAAGUGCAUCUAACUAUGACGAAAUUUCCAAUGAAACUGCUUUCUAAAUUAUGUUCCGGUUAGCACUGGGCGUAUCUAUUCAAUUUAACCUUAUCAGUAUCAAGUGACACUUAAAAAAAUACAUGAUGUAGAGGACUUCACCUCAGUGUUUGCAUUUCUUGGCUAACGACUCAGAUUGAAGGGGACAAGGUAGUAUGUGUAUUUGGUUUGAGGCAGACAUGCAUACACUGGAGCAUAAUCCAUCCAUCUCUCACUCUGCACCCUACAACACCAAGAACAGCAAUUCAGCUUUGAUUAGAGUUAAGUUGUUUUUCUUCCAGAAACUUCUCUUUUAUGCUUACGGUCAUGAAAUCUAUCGUAAAAACUGGUAGAAAGAAUACACUCCCCUCCUCCCCCCCCCAUAAAUUCAAAUUCCCAUGAGCGCUGGAUGGCUCCUUGCAGGAGUUAAAGAUAAUUUGUAGGGAUGCAUAUUUUCUUACAGAACCAAGUGACUGAAGGGAGUUGUAACCUGGUUUCAAAUACUCUUGGGCUUCCUCACUCAGAGCUACUUUUUGUCACUGCAAUUAGAGCAAGGGAGACUGGUUUUAAAGGCUAAGUGUAGUUGUCCAGUGAACAAAUGAUGGAGAAACACACACAGGGAGGGAGCAAUUUCCCUUCAUUUUCUUCCUUUUUCCAUUCUUCCUUUCCACCUUCCCACUUUCCCUCCUUUCUAUCUUCCUUCCUUCCUUCCUUCCCUCCUUCCUUCCUUCCUCCCUCCCUCCCUUCCUUCCUUUCUCUCUCUCUCUCUCUUUCUCUCUUUCUCUCUUUUUCUUUCUUCUUUCAUUAGGCAUCUAUUUAGUCUGAGGUAGAAUAUAUGGCAGAUAGAAUUUCAUUAGGAUAACGAAUACUACAAUAUCACUAUCAGUAGCCUUGGCUUAUUGACUGGUUAGGGUAAAACCCAAAUUGGCUGGACUGAAUGAGGAAUGCAACUUUUGGUAAAUAAAAUUUAAAACCAAUUAGGGAUAUUUUGGUGAUUUUUCUCUCCUUCAAUUCUUGUUGUUGAAACUCUUCUUUCCCCCCCUGAAAUGCAUCUCCUUGUUUUCAUGCUAGGAGGAGGAGUCCUGUCAUGGGAAUUAAGUUUUCUUAGAUAGAAAACCUUACGAAAUCUUUAUUCUGUGUAGUGAUUCUUGAAAAGGACUGAAGAUGCAGUUAUUAGGGAGGCGCCUUCCUUCUCCAGCCUCCAGGACAUACUCUGAAAACUGCCAUUUUGUUGUUACUGUGCAAACGUUAACUCAUUUCCCUACCGUGACGGAGACUAACUAGCAGCACAACACACCUGUUUCCUCUUCUUCCUGGGCAUGCAGCCUACAUUUCCCAGCCUCCUUUGCAUUUAGGUGUGGUCAUGUGACUGAACUCUAACCAAUAGAAUGUGAUCAGAAGUGAUAUGUCCCACUUUCUAGUCCAAACACAAGGAUCUCUCCAUGGUCUCUUCCAUGCUCUUUCCAGUCUAUCAGCUUGGUGCAGACACAGAUAAGCCAUUAACCUUGGGACCUCUGGGUUGACGAAGAUGGAGCCAUGAGAUGGAGAAAUCUGUUUCCUGGAAUCAGAAAGAAGGCCCCUUGCUAAUCAACACCACCCAUCUUGGAUUUUAUGUUUGUGAAAAUUUCUAAUGUGUUUUGGAUAUUGUACAUUUUUUAAAUUUGUAUGUAAUAGCAGCUAGCGAUAUCUCAAUUAAUGUUCUUAUCACUUGCUAAUAAAAGUAAAGUUGAAACCCAAAUUUCAGUUAACCAAUGUUUGUGAUGAGUUGACUUCCAGGGAAUCAAAGUUUUCUUACAAUCAAUAUAAACAGAGUUCUCUCCCAGAGAGAGGGAGCGGGGUGGGUAGAGGGCAAAUAUCCAGGAAUUAAGAAAGAGAAAUAGACCUUGCCACAUUUCUCUGAACAAAAGAACUCAACAGAGCAAUAAAUGACAUCCCAAAUAUACAAUGGAAAUUCUUCUCCCACGGAUUGUUGCUAAAUACCUCCCAGUUUGUUUGUCUGGGCUGAUGAGGUGCUUUCUGCACUGGGUGAGUUACUUCUUUCUUCUUUGUGGAUUGAUUCUCUUGCAGCUCCUAAAAACGUUUAUGCCAUUCAUAAAUAUUAUUUGACUGGAGGUAGUAUAUAUUUAACUGGGGCUCAUAAAUAUGCCCUUAAGUUUUUUUUCUUCGGUGUUCUGAUUCUUUUCUAUCUUCCCUAUUUCCCAUCACCCUUCUGAGACCCUAAGUCAAAGUAAAUUUACGUAUGUAUAUUUACAUAUUUCAUGGCUGUGUUUCUUUAUCAGAAGGAACCCUGAACUGGAGCCAGGAGGCCUUAUUCAAAUCACUGCCACUAACUAUACUUGUGACUGGUCAGGUUGAUUUCCCAUCUGUGUGACGGGAGUCAGAAAACAGUGGGAGACUGUGUUCUCUGUGCAAAGCCUGCCCAGCGCCCAAGAAAUGUGAGUCCCCUUUUCGUAGCAUGCCUUCCAGGUAUGACAUUCCAUGACAAAGUGAUGUAACCUGUCCCUUUUGAACUUCAUUCCUAAAUCUUCCUUCUCCAUUUUUUCUUCUUCCUUCUUUUUCUCUUGUUAUCCUGGAGGGAUCAUUCAGUGGUGGAGCCGGAAUGAUGGAUAUGCCAGGGUGGCUGAACUGUUGGCUCAUCUGGAAUUAUCCAGAUUGUGGGCUACUCAAUCAUGAAACAUUCAUUGAGCAUCUAAAAUUUGCCAGGUACUAUGCUAAGUGGGGUGUUUUUUUAACCUAAUUUUUACUGUGCUAUUUUCCUUUUUACACAAACAACACUGGCUCACUGUAGUCUUUUCUGAAAAUAUUUUUAAUAAUAAUAAUAAUAAUAAAUAAUUUAUACCUCCACUUUCUAGAGGCUACUACUACUAAUAGUUGGAUGUAUAUUUUUUCCAGAGUUUUUACUAUGUAAAUACGUACUUUAAAAAAGAGACUAUAAAAUUAUAUGCACAUCUUGUUUUAUAACCUGAUUUUUCACAUUAAUAAUCUGUUGACUUUAUUUCGCUUUCUCUUCACUGCUGGCUGGUUGGAGCGGAAGAGGUGAUCUUUCCCGCGUGUGAUGUAAAUUCAUUGCAGGAUGCAUAUACCAGAAAAACGCUACAAGGGGGCACUCCAAUGGACUCUAAGCUCAAAUUCAACAUUAAACCAAAAGGAGGUGAGGGUGCAAAUGAUGUCCGAAAAGGUUCUUAUUUUGAAUCAUUUACUGGAAACACCAUGGUCGCGUUAGAAACUUUUUUGUGAGUGAGAAGAAAAUUGCAAGACUGACCAGAUUCAAGAGUGAAACUCAUCUGUGUCAAUGUGUGUUGGCCCAAGUAAGACAGUCAUUCAAACACACCGCCCUUUUACUAACAAGGUGUGUGAGGCAGCUGAUCUCCUGCUCAUCCCCCAGUUAUAUCUGUGGGCUUUGUGGUGAAUGAACAUGGAUUGUCGUUUCAUCUCCUAAUCAACAAGAGAAUGAGUACUGGAAUAACAUCUUGGCAUCACCAGGAAGAGAAAGAAUCUAGAAUCCCUGCCAGGGUCUCUGAGCAUGUCAAGCAAUUUGAAUCGGUGAGUAUGUCACUAACCACAUCUGUGUGAUAGGAAAAUACCUGAUUCUGUGUGUUUGGGCUCUUGACUGCCAGCUGAGCUGACUGCAUGGCUGAUCCACAUCAAUGUGGGAAAAUUGCCUGUUAAUCUUUUAUUCCCAUGUUCUUAUUCAAAGAACACUGUUCCUAAUUUGCCUGUGUUGUAUGGACCCAAUAAUUGAAAGAACAUAAAGUAUUGUUUCCAGCUGGAGAGCAAUCUCCUGGCUUAAACAUUAAAAAAAUUAAAUACACAUACACACAUCUUCAUUAUAAAAGGUAGUAAAUUAAACCCAUCAUAGAAAAUUUAGAAAACAAAGGGGAAAAAAUCACGCUUAAUCCCACGACUUUAGCACCAUUAUUCUUAGCAAGUUGAUGAUUUUCCUUCCACAAAUCUUCCUACUUCUUUUUACAUUUUUAUUUGUUGUAACAGUAUUCAUACAAAGCUGUUUCCUUACUUUCCCUUAACAUUUUAACAGAACCAUUUUCCUUAUUGUUAUAAUACAGUAUCCAUGGCCAUAACUUUUAAAUAGUUAAAUAUUGCUCCCACAGACCUUGUUAAUUUUCCAGUUCUCACUAUAAGAAUGGCUUAUUAGAUCUAAUUUUGACUUUCAGAGCCAAUGGUGAAGAGGUAUGGAAACGCAGGUUUUUCUUUGCCAUUGGUCAGAGCUCUAAUAACACCCCAUUGUUAGGCUUGGGGUUUCAUGGUCUUCGCUAUUUGCAGAUGAAAUUUGUUACAAAGUCAUUGCAUCUUUGUGGAGGGAUCUGAGAAAUAUCUGAUCCAAUUGCCUCGUUUUGUAGAAGAGGAGAUUGAGGCCCGUUAAUCUGUGUGAUGGUGGCCCCAGGUGAGAAGGUGUGCAUCCUUUUUAGGAACAGCAAGGAGGCCAGUGUAGCCAGAUGACAGUUAACAAGGGGGAGAUGGCAAGGACAUAAGGAUGGAAGGAAAGUGUGUGUGUUUGUGUGUGUGUAUAUGUGUGAGAGCUCACGUAGGGCCUUAUGGUUCCCAGUAAGGCCUUGGACUUUUACUCUGAUAAGAUGGACAGCCAUAGGCACCACUCUGGCUACUGUGUUGAGAAUAGAAUGUAGGGGGAAGAGUGAAAGGAGGAAGAUCAUUGGAGGCAACGCAGAAAUACAGACAGAGAUGAUGGUGGCUCAGGCUGGAGUGGUAGCAUGAAGGUGGCCAGAAGUGGUCAGUUUCUACAAAUAUUUUAAAGGUUGAGAUGAUAGUAUAUAGUAUUUGAUAGUACAUGAGAUGAUAGUACAGAUAGAUGGAUUAGAUGUGGAGUGUGAGGGAGAGAGAGGAGUCAAGCCCGGACUUCCAGUUCUUUUGGCCUAAAUGACCAAAUACCUGGUAUUUCCAUUUACUGAAGCAGGGAAAACUUCAGGAGGAACAGAUCAGGGGUGCAAAGGGGCGGCAUAGAGAGGCCAAAAUCAGCAAUUCAAUAACAAUUCAAUUGCUGUUUAUCAGACAUUCGAGUGGAGAUAUCAAAGUAGCAGUUGGACAUACAAGUCUAGAGUGCAGGAGGUGGGUGCGGAGAUAUAAUUUGGAGGUUUUGAUUGUUGAAUGGUGUUAAAAGCCUUGAGACCGGAUGAGAUGACCUAGUGGGUAAGAGUAGUUUAGUAAGAGAAGAGGACUGAGGACUCCUUUUUUGGAGAGAGGAGGAGGAGCCUAUGGAGGAGACCACAAAACAGCAUCCAGUGAGGUGUUUAAUGGCUGCAUACCACCCCACCACAUGGAGAAACUGUAAUUUGCUGAGCCAUUCCAUUGGGGAAGGACAUUAAGUGGCUUUCUGUAAGUACUCUAAAAUUUCUACUACCCACAUUCUAACAAUGUUCUCCGGUAUUUCCCUGGCCCUUCAUGCAGACAUCAACUAUAUGUUAGUACCUGGUGGGCUGAUGCCCUAAUCAAAACCCUGGGGGCACCUCAUUAGAUCUCUGACUAAUUCAGUGUUUUGUAUAAUUUAUUAUAAUUAGGCUUGAACUGGGCUAAAGUUAGCCUUUACACCGUCACUGAUGUGAGAGAAAUUCAUUCCAUUCAAUCCAAUAAUCCUUAUUAAUUGUAUAAAUUAGCUAUAAGUUAGCAGUAAAUUAGUUAAUCUAUACUGGGUAAUGAAUAGUAUAAGCAGUUCUGGCAGUGAGCAAAAUCUACUGACAGGAAUGAACUGCUUACAAAGACUUUCAUGCAUUCUUUCCUUGGUUACAAUGACGGAAACUCUGGCACUAUGGUUUUCACCUCAUCUCCGAGGUACCUGACCUCCUGCAUGCUAUCCAGAAGCUCUAGGAUAAAAGAGGAGGUGAAAUCACAGGUUCUGGGAUCAUCCAGGCCCAUAUUAGAAUCCAGGCUUCCACUCAUUGGUGGUGUGGCCUUGGGAAAGCGCCUUCCUAUCUCCAUAAUGAGACUAUAAUAUGAAUAACUACUGUAGAGAGUUUUAAGAAUUAAAUGAAAUAUGGUAAAUAAAACGGAUGGACAGAGUAAGUUCUUCACAAUGAUGAGCUCCCUAACUUUUCCUGUGAGUUUAGUUUUCAAAAUCAGCUGGAAUGACAUCUCCUCUAGAAAAGCAAAUUGGUUAUUCCCAAUUGCAAUGAUCGUCAUUCUGGAAGCUCACACAACAUGCAAAGGUUGCCUCCAUUUUGUGUUAUUUUGUACUAACUGCUAACUUCUUCAGUUUCAACCAAGCCAUCACCUCCUCCCAAAGGGCAUUUUUGACUGUCUAAUGCUCCUCCGUGCCCCACCUGCAUACAUGUCUUGUCAGUAUACUCACCCCUGUAAGUGCUGAACCGCGUGGAAGGUUAAACUGCUUGGCAUGCGAUAGACGCUAAAUGCGUGGAAUGAAGGAGUGAAUGAUAUCCGUGCUUCAAGGAAGGUACAGUGUGUGAGGUGGCUCUGAGGGACAGUAAGGAUCUGGAUGUGUGAAGAUGAGAGUGGCAGCCCGGAGAACAUUCCCAACAGAAGACUGGUUUAAGUAAGUACAUAGAUGUAAGCAAAUGCGGUGCUUCCAUGAAGAAUAGCAGAGAAUGGUUUUGUUGGCUGUGAUGGGUUCAAGAAGGGCAGCAGUGAGAUAAAACUCGGGCUGUGGGCUGGGGUCAGCUACAGAGAACCUUAAAUUCCAGGUCAAGGGAUUCGCAUUGUUCCUUAGCAAAUAAAAAGGAGCCCUUGCAGGUUUUUGAGGAGUUCUGUGACUUAGCAAAAUUCAUUGGUAUUAGACUUUAAAAUAUAUUGGGAUGGAGCAGGGCAUAUUGGAAAAGGCAUUGUAACAGACAUAGAUUUGGAUUUGAACCCUAACCUGGUAAUUUACUGGGUAGCUUCAGGCAUAUAACAACUUCUCUCAGCUUUGCUCAGUUUCCUCGUCUACAAAACAGAAUAAUGAGAAAUACUGUUAGAGUGGUUAUGGAGGUUAGAGAAAGAGUAUGUCUUGUGCUUUUCUUAGUCCCUGGUAAGUAGUAAGAGCUUAAGAAAGAGUAUUUAUUAAUAUUAUAAUAGGUCAGAGAAGGAAGAGACCGAAAAAGAGGGAUCUCUGGGAAAUUUGUGCAAGAGUCUUGAUGAGUUUCCAGGAGGUCCUUGACAGAGAAGUGGCAGUGGAGAUGCUGAGAAGGAAAGUGAGAAACUUGCAAAUGAUUAGAAGUCGGAAUCAGAGGAGAGCGGAAGUUGGCUCUGAGAUAGUCAUGAACACAAGCGUGACUCCUGCUGUCAAAGAUCUUAGAGUCUUAUUUCAGAGACAAACAUCGUGUCAAUGGGUUAAUUAAGGCACAGAGCCCAAAUGAGACAGCGUGGGAUAGACUUCUGGAGACACAGAAAAACCAAUAAUAAGUCAUGGGUGAAGCAGCUGCAGUUUACUGAGCACCUGCUUCGUGUCAGGAAAUGUGCUGCAUAUAUUUCCUUACUUAAUACUCAUUUUAGAGAUCAGGAAACUAAAGUGUGAGAGGUUCAAUAAUUCCUCAAACACAGAGAUCUGGCAGGUGGCUGAGUUGGAAUCCAAAGCCAUAUCUGUCUGAUUCCAAUGUAUGUCCUCUUAAUCAUUCUCCUAGUAUAUAAAAUACACAAUGAAUGCUCUAGAAAGGAAUUAUGUUGGGUUCUAAAGUGUGGGGUGGGUUCUCAGUGGGAGGAGGGAGCAUUUGAAGCACAAAAAAGAACAUGAGUGACAUGCCAGGAAUCAGCUCCUUCUAUCCAUGGGGCAAUGAGGAAACUAGCGUAAUCAGCCAGGGUUAUAUUUGAUAUUAUCUUUUCUCCUGGGGAAAAAAGUAAUGUGAUUCUUUGUUUUCCAAAAUAAAGUUAACUAUAAAGAAAAUUUCUUUCCAGAUAGACUCUCAAGAAACAGCAGUAUCUGUUCAUGAAGAACAAAAUCAGUGGUUAAUUGAGUUCAAAAUUUUACAAAAGUGGUAAAGUUUGUAGCAUAUUUUAAGAAUGUUGCUUUGCUAUCGGAACUCAGCAUUGUUCUGUAGUCUCUGCUGUCUUCUUUUUGUGGUACCAUUGUUUUUCCGCUCCAUUGUCCAUUAGAAUUUAUUCCAGUCUUGAAAUUCCUUUGAAGCUUUUCUUAUGGAUCCUCUUUAUCCCGGUGGUCUCUCCUGUCGCCAAUCUUCUACACACGGCACCAUCCCCUUUCCAGGUACACUUGAUUCUCAUUAUUCACAGUAAAUAUGUUGUAUAAAGUUGCCAUGAACACUGAAUUAGUGAAUAUUGAACUCUUGCUCCUAAGCGAAAUAUAAAAUCAGGUUCCUGCGACCCUCUGGUCACAACAUUUUCAUCAACUGAUCAGUACAUAAGCUUGCUUUCUGUGUGUUUCUACUUAAAGACACCUUAUUUAACAUACAGUGUUGAUUCGUUAACAUUGAACUCACAGCCUAGAGCACUAUAACUCACAUUUGAACAAAGCUUAUCUAACGUGUGUUUUCUCUGUCAGGCACAUCACAGCCUUCUUGUGCUUUGGGACACUGGACAGCACUUCAGCACUACCAUCGGGGGCCAUUUUAAACAGCGAACCAACAAAAAGCGCAAAAGCGCGAAAAAUGUGGUGCUAAAUAGAUCAGGAAAAGGACACCUGUUUACAAUAAGACAGCUGAAACAAGAAGGGAGAGCAUCACUCUGUUGGACUAUAGCUGGGGAUGCACACAACGCGUAAGGCAAAAUUUUGGUGCUCUGCACAAGUGUUAUGAAGGACCCUGAAAGAGCUGUGGCUAUUGAUUUUGCGGUUACAAAUAAAUUUCAGCAGGAGACCCCAUCAUCUCUGAGAGGCCACAUGGAGCAAAACACAGUCAUCUGAACCAAGGGCUUCUUAGACCAGCCAGCCCCCAGCUGACCCACUAGCAGAUCACUGAUGCAUGCGUGAAUCCAGUCAAGAUGAGCUGAGCCCAACCUAUAUCAGAACAGUCCAUCCGACCUACCAGCUAAAGAGAAGGAAGAAAAGUUUGUUGUUUACAUUGUUGCCAUUUAUUGACCAUAUACUACGUGCCAGAAAUUGCUAAAUUCAGAGAACACAAUGACGUACGGAAUCUGAUCUCUGCUCUUGAGUAGGUCAAGAGCAUUCAAAGUGAGAUUAAGAUGGGAAAGGGCUACAAUGUCUAUUUGACAGAUGGGGAAAACUGAGGUAUGAAAGAGUGCUACAGUUUGCUUAAACGGGGACUGAGACAUUGCGGUUGCGCUACGAGGAGAAGGCCAGAACUUGGCCGUCCUUAAUGUAAGCAUUUACUCAGAGGAAAACUGUUAAUCAGUUGGAAAAAUGGAAAGAACACUUCCUUUGCAAUCUUCGCCUCUCCUUUCAAAUUUUUAUUUUAACUUGCACUUAUUUGGCAAUGUAGGAAAUAUAAAAAAUGUGCCCUAGCUUUGCUUACAUUUUACAUGGAGAGAGGAGAUAUAACUGCCCAGAAUUUCGAUAACGAUGCAAGAGUUUAAGGCCGAUAUUCACCAGCUAAAAUGAGAUGAUCAUUUUGAAUUAUACUGUCCCCCAAUAGAUCACGGUCAUAUCCACCAGACUUUGAGCUCCUGGGACCUAGGACCUGCGUCUUGCAGCUAGCAGGGAAAUGAGUCAUUGAGAUAAUUAGGCAUACAGUUUGCUUUUGCUUUAAGAGGACCAAUUCUAAAUGGCAUUCCUGUUAUAUUUCCUUUUGUUUUUUCGUUUGUUUUGUUUUAACUUUAACGAGUAGAAUCAGAGCAUUUCAUGUCUAUCAUGGGGAGGAGAACUGACAUUUGUCAAACACUUGCCACAUUCUAGGCCCCAUGUCAGGCCUGUUAUGUUCUUAAUGAAUUUAAUCCUCACAGUGACCAUACGAGGCAGAUUUUUAUCUCUGGCCCUGUACAGAUGUCAAUACUGGGCCUCUCUGAGUAACCUGUCAAACUUCACACAGUAAGUAUGUGGAAUAGAAUUUUUUGACUUAAAACUUAUUUCCUCGCUCCAUGCUAACACUCUACCUUGAAUCUCAGCUGGAUCAACCCCUUACCUAGUGACUUGUAAAUCUUCAAUUUGAAAAGUUUUGCAAUGAAGGGAGAGAGGAGGAAAGCCAUAGUUUAGAAGAGGACUCACACAUUUUCAGCUGGAGAACAGUGGGAGCCCCAGAGAUUAUGGAGUCGCCGUGGGAUAGAUUAGCAUGUGGGGUAUGUAAUGACAGGGUCCCCAGACAUUCCUGGAUUGAAGAGUUUGUGCAUGUCUUCCUGCUUUCACCAGCUGUACUUGCCUCUGAUUUAAUUAUAUGCUCAGGGUACAGAUGCCUCUAGAAUUGCAGGCCGUCGCUUGCUUCCCAGGAAGGGUUAUUGGUUAGAUGACGCUCAGCUUAUGGAAUGCAGAAAAAAAUAGAUGUUGGCUUGUCCCUUAGCAGUGGAGAUACAUUUGAAUCAUUGUGAGCCAAGAUUCAUUCAUUAGUUCAUCCAAAAAUAUUUAUCGAUUACUUGGUGGACAUUUAUAUUUUUCUUCACCUUAACAGGAAAGUGGACAGAGUAUUCCAUUAUCCUGGUAGAAUGAUUAGUCCAGAGCAUAUAUUUGGCCUGGGAUAUAAGCCAAGCAAGAGUCCAAUAUAGGGAAUUAACACGGACACUCAGAGGAACAGUGUCUCUCAGAUCUUGAGCUGAAAAGAUUUUGAAAGACUGGGGUUGCCAGGGGUCACUUUACUCACCAUGCUAAGAAAAUCUGCCUGAGAAGGAAGCUGACACAGAGGAAAGCAGACCCAAGACAUGGAGAGAGAGGAAAUAUUUGAACACCUGGAUCCUGCCAUGCCUGAAUCCCUUGACUUUUGUAGCUACAUUGAACAGAUUCUCUCACGGCACUCAACACUAGAAUUGGGAGCUGGAAACAGGAGGAAUAUGAAUUCCUUUCCUUUGCCUAAUUUAGAUAAGUGUCUUCAAUUUGUAUGGGAAGGACGCAGAGCAGUCUGUCGGAGACAUCGCUGAUAUUAUAGAGCAAGCAGAAUGUUUGGAGUCAGAGCUGUGGGUUUGAAUCUAGUCCUUGAAUUCAUUCCUUUAAAAUCUAAUUAUGGGACCUACUGGUCUGGUCCCAGGAGUUGGGACUAUAAUAAGCUGUUUUCUCAUCCCACAGUCAGCUCCCAGUCUGGUGGGGCAUGCGAGCUUACUAAGUGGCUGCAUAAUUUAAAGAAAUUAGUUGACCUCCUGACCCUCAGUUUCUGAGCUGUGAGAAGCAAAUGAACUAGUGGAUAUGAAAGCAUUUUGUAAAUUGUGAAGAGCCCACGCCCAAAAGCUCUGCAAGUGUGGGGCCUGUCUUGAUAACCACUGACCAAGUACCCAUGUACUUAAUUAAGUACCGAGUGCCUGACGAUCAUGUGGUUAAUGCUCAACAUGCUUGUUGAAAGAACACAAUAACUUGUGCUAUUUAGCAAAUCCUUUUAGCUAGAUGCUCAAAAAUUCCUUUUUCUUUUUAUAACCUAGCUUAAAAUGUAUCACUAGAGAGAGUCCAGCUCCCUUGACCAUGAGAAACUCUAAUCCGGAGGGUCCCUGUGGACAUUUUAGUCCCCUCUGUACCAGUUAACUAUUGCUGCCUAACAAACCAUUACCACACAUGCUAAAAAAAUCCCAACUAUUUAUUAUUUUUCUUGAGUCUAUGGGUCAGCUGGAUGGUCCCAGUAAUGUGGGCUGGUCUGGGCUGAUCUUAUCUAUUCUCAUGCAUCAGACGCCAGCUAGUGGGCCAGCUGGGGAAUGGUCUGUAUAGGAUGGCACCACAUGGAACGACUUCAACAGGCCAGUCUGGGUUCUGUUCAUGGUGGUAGUAUGUUUCCAAAAGUCUGCAGCAUUGCUCAAGGCCUCUUGAAGCCUGAGCCCAGAACUGGCCCAGUUCCUCCAUAUUCUGUUUUCCAAAGCAAGGUCUAAGGCUAGGCCAGAGCCAGGGAGUAGGAACAUAGACUUCACCUUUUGAUGGGAGGAGAUGUAGUGUCACGUUGCAAGUGGUACAGAUCCAGGGAGGAGAGAAAUUGGAGAGUGUAUGCAAUCAAUCUAUCAAAUAUCCUUUGAGCUAAGGUGGGAAAGUCAUUUAAAGCUGUAAACUCAGAAAAGGAAAAUGUGGAUUCUCUCCUCUCUUACCUCUUUACCUGAUCCCUUCUCUUUUUGCCCACUGACACUGCCCUGGCGAGGUUUUCGUGAUCUCUGUUGCCUAGACAAUUGUAGUAGCUCCAUACUGAUCUGCCUGCCUCCAAAGCAAUUUGACAAACAUUUCUUUAGCGCCUUCUAUCUCCCCAGUGCUGUGCUAAGCUCAGAAGAAGAAACAGACGUUCUAAGAAUGUAGUCCUUCUUUCUGGCCUCAGCCCAGAAGGAAGGACAGACAUUUUCCACCCGUAAGACAGACUGAUAAAUGCUUUUAUGCCUUCUCACUGCACAUUCCUCUCCACUUGGUCAUCAAGGUUAAUUUAACAAAGUUCUCCGUGUUGCCUACAAUAUAAUGGGCCUGUUUCUUAUCUGGCAUUCAAGGCAUUCAUGAAUUGCUCCCAAUCUCUCUUUCUAGGCUCUUGCCCCAUUACUUCUGGGAGAGACACCAACUCUUCUAUUGUAUGAAAUUUCCAUUGUGUUCCACUUCCUAUGUCCCUCAACUGUAUUUCUUUGCAUGUGUCAUUUUCUCUCUCUCUAUACGCUUACCCCUUCUCUCUACCUGUUGCAAUACCAUUCAUGCUCACUUGUCAACCUCCUCUGAAGAGCUUUCCCUGCCCAACUGAGUUAGAAUCAUUGUCUUCUUUUUCUGUUUCCCUAAUCAUUGUUUUUUUGCUAUAAUGUCAUAUUCUUGGAUUAUGUACUAUGCUGGAUUGCAACUUCCUGAGUGCAGGUCUCAGCCUUGUCACCUGGAUGUCCAUCGAGUUACCUGGUGUGUCCGCCUCACAGUAGGUGCUGAGUUGAUGCUGUUGACCUGAGUCGAAUCACUUCCGCUUCCUUCCACCCGCUCUGCAGCCCUGCCUCCAAUCUCAGAGCCGCCUAGAGUCACGGUCACUUUCCAGGACUCCGUGUGAGAGGCACUUGAGUUGAGAUGUGCCCUAGGCUGCUGAAUUGGCAUGAGUUACAGGCCUAAAAAAAGUCCUGCUCUGUACUAGGGGGUCAGUUACUAAUUGUAAUUCCUUCUCUGGCCACUUUUCUGAGGCUUGAACUCAAAUUGCCUUACUCACUUUAUUUUUAGGUGUCUGACAGUUUAAAAGAGGGCUGGUUUAUUAUUAUACUAUGAGUAGCCCUCGGAAACUGGGUGCCCUGAUUAUGAUAAUACAAGCUGUUCAGAUGAGAUUCUUCUUUACUCCAAGUUUGAAGCCCCGUGUUUUAGGUGAGUGGCCUUCAGACUUCAGUGUGAGUAAGAAUCAUCCAGAGCAUUUGGAAGCAUGCGGAUUCCUGGGCGUUACCUCCAGAGUUUCUGAAUUCCUAAAUCUGGGCAGGACCCAGGACUAUGUAAUUUUCUCUGGCUCCCAGGGGAUUCAGCUGUUGGCUGCCUACACUUUGAGAAAAAUUACUAUAGAAUUAUAAGCAUCAGACAAUGAAGAAAAACGUUGGCUGCAGUUGGGCAACUGACGUGAUGCCAAAGUUAUCAUCACAUCCCAGAGACCAGGGAGGUCUCCAAAUACCUCUCUUUUUGCCUUGCCACUCCUCUGCUCAAGAACACUCAAUGGCUCCAUCUUUCCUCUGCUGGAUCAAGUCCAAACUCCUCCCCAUGCCAUUCCAAUCUCGACUCAGCUGCUCCUUGAUGUCUCUCCUUCUGCAGGAUGGAGAUUUCAUCUCCACGGCUUAGCUUUCUGCUUUUUGUGUCCCAUCUCUUCUUCUUCAUUAAGAAUCACCAAAAUUUGAUUGGAUGUUUUCCAUAUAUCAGCCACUGUCCCAUACAUCAGUUUAUUGAAUCUUCAGCUCGGUCCUGGGAUAAAGGUAUUACCGUCAUUCCCAUCGCUGCUGCAGAUGAGUUUCUGUGACUUGCCCACGGUCACACAACUGGCAAGUGGAGUUCAAACCCAGAGUGAUGAUCUAAGCCAUUGUCCACGUGUGUGAUACUGUGAUGUUUAGGUGAAGUUAUACAAAUCACUUUCUUCCUUCGAGACUCAGUCAAGUACCCUCCUGAACUGAGAAGUAAACCCCCUUUUUCCUCAUCUGUAAAUUGGCUGUGCCUGCCUAGCUCGAAGGUAUCUGUGAGGAUCAAGGGCCGUCAGGUACCGGAUGUACUGUGUACGGUGUCUGGCACAAUCUGGGUGACCAAGUGGUACUACUGGCUGGAUGCCAUUCCCCUAGAAACCCACAUCAAGUCUUUUCAGGCAGGAGAGAUGAAAAUAGUGUGGCUUUUGAGGAAUGAUGAGAUUAAAUUACCAGAAAAAAUUCUCUGGCAUCAAAGCACGAUUUCCCCUUUUUCCUGUGGGUCAGAGGUAUCACUCAAGAAUAAAGAUGUGAGGAACCAUCCUUCCUGCUGAAACAUUUUUUAUCUCCUCUUCAAAGAGUAAUCUCAGGGCAGCCACAGCCAUGGAAACACAAUGUGGCAGGUGUAACUGUGCUGGGGAUUAGAGGCCCAUUUUCUCCCAGCAGGAGGAGAAAAGCUGCGGUCAGGGAAGAUGAAUGGACCGGGGCUGUUUUGUCACGGUCUGCAAAGAGCACAUUCUCCCAGCGCCUCGAUCAAUCAGGGCCUGGUAUUGAAGGCCCUCUGCUAUCACUUUUGAGUGACUUGCAGCCCUAUUGUGUCACCAGUGAGGGACUUCUCAUCUGCUUGGGUGACCCAAAAGUGUGAUGAGGCUUGCAGUAGGGCCUGGCCCACAAUUAAGAGCAGAUUUAUUUGUUUCUUUGUUCCUUCGUAGCAGCUGGAAAUGGGGGAUACGUGGAGCUUUCCUUAAGAAGAGCUGCCUUGCCUGUGUUUUCACAGUUUUGCCCGUUCGGUCAAGUGUGGAUGAAGCUGUUACUCUGGUCUCUCAUAAGGAAAGGGAGCCUCGUGUGUGGUGGGCAUGAGGUCAGCCUCUGAGGACAUAAACCUGAUGGAGACGCAGGCCUCAUGAGGAGUUCACGGUGAACCUACAACCAGCGUUUAUGGAGCACCGGUGUGCCCGAAGGAAAACAGAGCCCAGAUAAUUUAAAGGACUCACAUGCGCUCCCAGAGCUAGUAAUUUCCGGAAUCCAUAACCAGGCCUCCAGAUAUGACAUCCAGGGCUUUUUCCAGGGACCAGCAACUCCAGUUUUAAGAAAAGAGCAAAGCCAGUUACAUCGUUCCGCACAAAGGCCCUGCUAGAGCUGAGCUACCCAGAGACCAGACCAGAGUGGAUUACUGAAUAUAACUAACCAAAUAAAAGUUAACUGAAGGACUAAAUGUGAUCACAUGGAGAAUGGACUCAUCUCUUGCCAGGACUGAGCUUCUCAUCUACUGGCUUGGGGAGCAUUUGGCUGCCUUUUCCCCUUCCAGGCUGGGCAAACAGCUCAUUCUGAUGACCUGAGAGAUGAGCCUCUGGUGAUGUCAGUCUCCCCCUGGGCACGGGGGCCCAUUAUCACAUGCACUUGACCUUCACUCUCCAAUAUGCUGGAUCUCAGCUCAGGAGUGACUCAGCGACGGUACUGGACCUGGUGAUCAUGCAUUUUCAGCAGACUUGCCGAAUGAACGCUACCCAGGAGCGACGCAAUGCCAUCACACAUCCUUCUUGGGAGCAACUCGAAAGCCUGCCUUUCGAGUUUACUUCUGUUACUCUCUCAGCUCAAGGCCUGAGUCAUUUCACUAAAUGAGUGUUCUGCCUUGGCCCUCUCCCAGUCAACAGCUGCAAGGUACCAGAUUGGCACGAAGCAGGUCCCUGUGCGAAGUGCUGGGGAAUGGGAGAUGAAUAAAGCAUGGCUUUUCUCCUUAAGGAUUGACUCCUCGUUAAGAAGACACGAGUGGAAGGAACUUACAGUGCCGUGGAGAAAAUAACGCAAGGAGCUCGAGAGCAAGGAGGCAGGGAGUGAGGACUCUUCUGAUACAAGUGACACCAUGGAGAGGCAUCUGGAGGACAGAAGAAGGAAACACUGCUGAUGGAGUGGCGUGUGCAAGUAGCUGAAGAGAGACCUAAGUCAACUGACUCAAUGAAGAUGAGUUCAUACAACGUAAAUCAGGAGAAGAUGUGGAUUUUAAGCGUGGGUCUUUGAGUGUUCAAAUUGGUCUGGGCUUCAUAUAAUGUCAAAUAUCUAGCAAGGAAAUUAAAUUUUACUUUCAAAAUCUUACUUCCAACAUUUCCCUACAUUUGUCCCUUUGUGUACUGGAACUGAACAUUUUGAUUUUUGCCAGUGUUUUCAAUGCUCUGUGGACUUGACCUCUGUAUCCUGCCAAUAUUUUCUUUUCUUCUUCUUUUUUUUAAAGUUCUUUGACUUUAUUGUUAU